Molecule: ribosomal RNA, 437 nt
Filed under: uncultured bacterium
Lineage: Bacteria
Description: partial 16S ribosomal RNA
Rfam family: Bacterial small subunit ribosomal RNA
Source: RNAcentral
ACGGAAGGCAGCAGUGGGGAAUAUUGGGCAAUGGGCGCAAGCCUGACCCAGCAACGCCGCGUGAGGGAAGAAGGUUUUCGGAUUGUAAACCUCUGUCCUUGGUGACGAAGGAAGUGACGGUAGCCAAGGAGGAAGCCCCGGCUAACUACGUGCCAGCAGCCGCGGUAAUACGUAGGGGGCGAGCGUUGUCCGGAAUGACUGGGCGUAAAGGGCGUGUAGGCGGCCGGAUAAGUUGGGAGUGAAACACCUGCUUUUAAGGUGGGUACUGCUUUCAAAACUGUCUGGCUUGAGUGCGGAAGAGGUAAGUGGAAUUCCCAGUGUAGCGGUGAAAUGCGUAGAGAUUGGGAGGAACACCAGUGGCGAAGGCGACUUACUGGGCCGUAACUGACGCUGAGGCGCGAAAGCGUGGGGAGCAAACAGGAUUAGAUACCCUGGUA